This 326-nucleotide ribosomal RNA is filed under the name uncultured eukaryote. Its description in RNAcentral is "partial 18S ribosomal RNA". It matches the Rfam family "Eukaryotic small subunit ribosomal RNA", at positions 1470 to 1796 of the family's 1831-position model. The record is from RNAcentral.
CCCUUAGAUGUUCUGGGCCGCACGCGCGCUACGCUGAUGCAUUCAACAAGCCUAGCCUUGACCGAGAGGUCUGGGUAAUCUUUGAAACUGCAUCGUGAUGGGGCUAGAUUAUUGCAAUUAUUAAUCUUCAACGAGGAAUGCCUAGUAAGCGUGAUUCAUCAAAUCGCGUUGAUUACGUCCCUGCCCUUUGUACACACCGCCCGUCGCUCCUACCGAUUGAAUGUGUUGGUGAGGAGCUCGGAUUGGCAGCAGUUGGUGGUUCGCCACCGGCUAUUGCUGAGAAGUCCUCCAAACCGCCCCAUUUAGAGGAAGGAGAAGUCGUAACA